Long non-coding RNA from Canis lupus familiaris (dog), 995 nucleotides. RefSeq lists it as uncharacterized. The record is from RefSeq and is a predicted model, not a curated record. The transcript is spliced from 4 exons. Lineage: Eukaryota; Metazoa; Chordata; Mammalia; Carnivora; Canidae.
CGAUCCCAGGACCAGGAUCAUGAUCUGAGCUUAAGGAUCAAGACAUUUAACCAACAGUCAUGCAGGCACCCUGCCUGGCUGACUUGAAAUAUCUGAGUGUUCCCAUGUGGAGGAGGAAAUGUUAAAUGUUUCUGUGUCUGAGGCCAAUGGCAGAAAGAGUGGCUCUAGCUUGUGGAAGCUCAGGUUCCUUGAAGGUAGGAGCUGUUCCUUAUUUCUGUUUCUGCCAUACUUAAGAUAGCACCUGGCACAUAGGAUGCUCUUCGUAAAUGUACUGAACUGAAUCAGAUCUGUCCAAUAAUGGAAUACUCGUCAGCCUUCCUGGAUGAAAAUGUGUUGGUAGCAGUGGUGCCCAUCACCAGUGAACACAGGGUGGGCCAAAUGUAUCACACGGUUCCUUAAAUGAGGAAGAGGGAGACAGAAGAGUCAGAACUGGAGGCAGCAGUGUUAGAAAGACUCAACUGGUCAUUGCCGGCUUUGGAGAUGGAAGAGGCCACGAGCCCAGGAGUGCGGGUGGCUGCGGGAAGCUGGAAGAGGUGCAAGAUCUGUAGAGACAGAAAAGAGAAGAGGGAUAACAGUGACAUAAUUGUGAAUCUGUUAUAAAGGAUUUGGCAUUCUCCGAGAGCUUCCUGAGAAAAAGCUUCCCAGACUGCUGCCCCGAAGCCAUCUCCUCCUGGGAACUGCACCUGGAAGUCAGGGAACUUGCCGCCAGCUAGCUAGCUGAAGCCAGUUCUUCCCAAAGCAUGGCCAAACAUCGAAGAUGAUGGCAUAUCUUAAUUAAGGUACUUGUGUAUACAUAAGAAGAUGCUAAUCGUUUCUGAUUCAGGUCAACCUGGCUGGAGUGCUGGAUUGAGAGCAGUUCUAAAGCUGAGUUCAGGGUGGCUCAGCGGUUCAGGCGCCUGCAGCCCAGGGCAUGAUCCUGGAGACCCGGGAUCGAGUCCCACAUCGGGCUCCCUGCAUGGAGCCUGCUUCUUCCUCUGCCUGUGUCUCUGCCCCCC